AAACUGUUUCUAAAAUAUUUGAAGCGACAACACCGGAGCUUAAGCGCCUGAGCCAUACGCGUAGUGUCAUCUGUCAAACGGCUUUUUGUUUAUAUUCGGGAGUCGUGUAUUUUCUCUAAUUUUUGGUUUAAAAAGGAAAAAGGCCACAUUUUAGUGUUUUUUUAAAUUGCUAGGAUGGCAAAAACUUGUGUCGUUUGUACCGCAUCAUGAUAAAAAGGCGAUUCAAGCCGAUCUUUUUACAAAUUGCCUAAUAUAUGCCCAAAGGGAACAAUGGAUUUCAUUAAUGGAAAUCAACACAAUUAAAAAGAACAUAUUUGUUUGUUCAGAUCACAUCCUUAGAAGUGAUUUCUUAUAUAAGGAAGAUAAUAUCAGUAGCCAGACUUUAUUAAAAAAAUCAGCUCUACCUCAAAGGAUUUCUGAUGCACUGGUUAAAAACACAGCAGCCGAUAAUUCAGUAAAUUUACCAAGUGAUUUACCCUUCAAAGCUGCAGGGGUAGCUUUCCUGAAGAGUGCAAAAACUUCUUUAGUUUCCAAAAUGGUAUAUAGUACAAACAAUGAAGCUAAGUAUGGAUAAUUAAAAUAGAUUAAUAUUCUUUAUACACCAAAUUUUGUAUAAUUACAGAUCUGAUCAUUCAUCAUCAACAAUAACUGCAUCUGAGAUUAAUAGUUCUACAGUAACCGUGGGGUCUAGGUCAACAAUUACUAUUUCUGAUCUAAGCCGUUUUUGUUUAACUGCUAUACAUUCCCUGACUGCCAAGGAAAAGGUAAAAAUACACUUAAAAUAGACUACUAGUUUUAAAAUCAAAUGAUAGGUAAAAUCAAAUGAUAUCCUGAGGACCUAAGCACUGACGAUUCCACCGUUUCAAAAGCUAAAUCACUUGUCACCAAAUUAUGAAAAAAAAAAUAAAGAACAAAAAAUUAAUAUUCGAAGAUUGCAACAAACAAAUUUGCGCCAAAGAAAUUGAAUUAGAUGUCUCAAGUCAUUAUUAAAAUACUUAAGAAAUAAUAAUAUGAUUUUCAAAAAGCCCAACAUAAUACAUAUUUUAUUUGACUUGUAAAAGUAUUUGUUUGUAUAUUAGUAUAUUACUACUAAUAAACUAUCUAAUCUAAUCUAUUGUACAUAGUCUUUAUUAGGUAAGCUUUGUUUUUUAGUAUAAAUUAAUAUGAUAUAAUUGGUAUUAGGUAUUAUAUGGGUCACUGUUAAAUGUCUCAAAACCAUUGUACAGGCUAAAUACUCAUAAUAAAAAUCUUAUAACCUAUAAAAAACCUGCAACUCCUUCACAAUUUGAACAUCCUUGUAGUUUUAACUCUUUCCGCUGAAGCAAUA
Long non-coding RNA from Anthonomus grandis grandis, 1327 nucleotides. RefSeq lists it as uncharacterized. The record is from RefSeq and is a predicted model, not a curated record. NCBI's taxonomy places the organism in Eukaryota, Metazoa, Arthropoda, Insecta, Coleoptera, Curculionidae. The transcript has 3 exons.